GGGCUUCGCUCGGCCCGGGCUCCAGGAGCAGAGCUCGGCCGGCUGUGCGUCAGGCUCUGCCCGCCCGCGCCUCCCCGUCUUCUGGGCUUUAACUCUGGGCACCGCAGCACUGGGGCUCCUGCCCUGGUUUGCACUAAGGUCCAAAGAGGAGAUGGGUUCAUUGCUCUCAUGGAACUGGUGGUCCCAUAGCUGUUCCAGUUGGUGCAGUGUUUUUCUGAUGCCUUGAUCUGGAUCCUGCAACCUGAACAGGAGCUGGAUCGUCUGAGGUUAUAACAAGAACUAGAGUAUCUGAGAAAAAGAAAGGACUAAAAAGGUAGUUGCCAUCCAGAAUAGAAAAGAGAAGACAUGUGUAGGAAGGAAGUUGUGAAGCACUGUGAUGCAGUAUCACUAAAAACUCACUUGUCUUUCUGGAAAAGUUUGAGCAAAAAGCCUGUUUCUCAUGGAUUGAUUGUAACUAACUGUAACUAAUUAAUUAAUUAAAGUGCUACACCCAGUGAGAUACUGUCCUGUUCCAAUUUUCCACUGUUUUUCUAUUAUUCAAACAUUAAAUUAAAUAUACUAAAACUGGAAACAGUCAGGUAUUAGUGAAUGAAUGGAUGAGGAAUCUAUGAUAUGUCCAUACAGUAGAGUACUAUUUAGCAAUCAAAAGAUUGUUUGUAUUUUAAUAACAAGGCAAAAGCCCCAAAAUAAUUCUGAUAAAUAAAAGAGAAACAAAAAUGCAGUCAUAUUUUAUGAUUCAAUCAUAUAAAAAUUCUAUGAAAUGCAAAGAAAUCUAUUAUAAAUAAAUACAUCAUUAUUUGUCGGGGGCAGUAUAAAAGAAAAGGGCUUAUCACAGGACACAAGGAAACUGUUGGAAGUGAUAUGUGAGCUUAGUAUCUUAAUCCAUUUUAUGAUUUUUAAAGCAUUUAAUAGGUGCAAGCUUGUUACACUGAACAUUUUAAACACUUUUAUUAUUUAUCAAAUGCACCUUUAAUAAAGGUUAGUUGAAAGAAAUGCAUUUAAUUAUCUUGAAAUAAUGGAAAAUUUUAACAGAUUAAUAAUGAGGAAGGGGAUUGAAUCAGUAAUACUAAAAUCACCAAUGAGAGAAAAGCUGAUGACUUCUCUGGUGAAUUCUGACAAACUUUAAAGAAUUAAUACCAGUCCUUGAAUUCUUACAAGAAAGUGAAAAGGGCUGAGUACUUCUAAAUUUUCAGAUAUGAAGACAGAAAUGCAUGCUACAAAGAAAAUUAGAGGGAUGAACACAGCUACAAAAAUCCUAAACAAAGUACAACAAGCAAGCUGACUCCAAUGGCUUAUCAUUGAAUUAAAAGGCCAAGCAUGGUGGUCACACUUGUACUUCCAACACUCAAGACUCUGAGGCCGAAUGAUUGCACUAAGUUUGAAUCCAGCCUGGGUUAUAAAAUGAGUUCAAAGCCAGCCUGAACAACAUAUCAAGACUCUAUCUUGAACAAAACAAAAACUCCCUGCCUCAGCACAUUAGAAGAAAUCAUGUUCAAGUGAAAUUUAUCCCAGGGAUGCAAGGAUGGCUCCACAUAUUCAAAUGGACAAACAUGAUAUAUCACAUUGACAAAUGAAGGAUAAAAAAUAUCUGAUUAACUCAUUUCAUGCAGAAAGCAUUCAACAAAAUUCUUUUUUUAUCAUGAGAAUUCUCAAAAAAUUAGCUACAGAAUGUACCUCAAUACAGUAAAGUCCAUAUACCAUAAGUGUACAGCUAACAUUACGUACAACAAUGAAAAUCACAAGGCUUUUCUUCCAAGUUCAGAACCAAGACAAAGAAUUCUACUUUCACCACUUCCAUUCAACAUAGGACUAGAAGUCCUAGCCAGAGUAAUUAGACAUAAAAAUAAAUAGGUGGGAACCAAAUCAGAAAGAAAGAAGUUAAAUAGUCUCCGUUUGCAAAUGACAUAAUGUUUGUUUUAAAAUCUUAAAUCUUAAAAGUACUAAAUGAAUCCAGAAAAGCAACUGAACAUAAAAUCAAUACAAAUAAAUUAGUGGCAUUUUAAACACUAACAAGAACCUACUAAAAAAGAUUAAGAAACCCACAAACUGGGAAAAGAUUUUAGUGAACUCUCUCUCAGACAAGGGACUCUUGUCUAAAACAUAUAAAGAAUUAAAAAAAAAACUCAGACCUCCAAAAUUCAAAGAUCCAAUCCAAAAAUGGGCAUCUGAGAUGAAUAUGCAAUUCUCAGAUGAAGAAAUGCAAAUGGCAAAUAAAUACAUGAAAAAAUGCUCAUCAUUAUUGGUCAUUAGAGAAAUGCAAAUUAAAACCACACUGAGAUACCAUCUCACUCCUGAAAGAAUGGCCAGGAUCAAGAAAACCAACAACAAAUGCUGGAGAGGCUGUGGGGAAAAAGGAACUCUCCUGCACUGUUGGUGGGAGUGUAGACUGGUAAAGCCUUUGUGGAGAUCUGUCUGGAGAUUUCUCAAAAAGUUGGGAUUGGAAAUCCCAUUUAUUCCAGCUAUUCCACUUCUAGGCAUAUUCCCAGAAGAACUGAAAGCAUCAUACCACAGUGAUAUAUGUGCACCUAUGUUUAUAGCAGCACAAUAUGUAAUCGCCAGAUCUUGGAAACAACCCAAGUGUCCAUCAACUGAGGAAUGGAUAAAAAAGUUGUGGUAUUUCUAUACAAUGGAGUAUUAUUCAGCUAUAAAGAAGGAUCACAUUGAGAUAUUUAUCAAUAAA
This is a long non-coding RNA of Cavia porcellus (domestic guinea pig), 2680 nucleotides long. RefSeq lists it as uncharacterized. Lineage: Eukaryota; Metazoa; Chordata; Mammalia; Rodentia; Caviidae. The transcript is spliced from 3 exons. The record is from RefSeq and is a predicted model, not a curated record.